RNAcentral lists this ribosomal RNA (250 nucleotides) under uncultured bacterium. RNAcentral's name for it is "partial 16S ribosomal RNA". It matches the Rfam family "Bacterial small subunit ribosomal RNA", at positions 524 to 773 of the family's 1533-position model. The record is from RNAcentral.
UACGAGAGCCUCGAGCGUUAUCCGGAAUUAUUGGGCGUAAAGGGUGCGUAGGUUGUUCUGUUAGUCUUUUGUUAAAUCCCCGAGCUUAACUUGGGAAUCGCGAAGGAAACGGCAGGACUUGAAAGUGUGAGAGGCGUACGGAACUCAUGGUGUAGGGGUGAAAUCCGUUGAUAUCAUGGGGAACACCAAAUGCGAAGGCAGUACGCUGGCGCAUAUUUGACACUGAAGCACGAAAGCGUGGGUAGCGAAU